Molecule: ribosomal RNA, 397 nt
Filed under: Brucella anthropi
Lineage: Bacteria; Pseudomonadati; Pseudomonadota; Alphaproteobacteria; Hyphomicrobiales; Brucellaceae
Description: bacterial SSU rRNA
Rfam family: Bacterial small subunit ribosomal RNA
Source: RNAcentral
CGAACGCUGGCGGCAGGCUUAACACAUGCAAGUCGAGCGCCCCGCAAGGGGAGCGGCAGACGGGUGAGUAACGCGUGGGAACGUACCUUUUGCUACGGAAUAACUCAGGGAAACUUGUGCUAAUACCGUAUGUGCCCUUCGGGGGAAAGAUUUAUCGGCAAAGGAUCGGCCCGCGUUGGAUUAGCUAGUUGGUGAGGUAAAGGCUCACCAAGGCGACGAUCCAUAGCUGGUCUGAGAGGAUGAUCAGCCACACUGGGACUGAGACACGGCCCAGACUCCUACGGGAGGCAGCAGUGGGGAAUAUUGGACAAUGGGCGCAAGCCUGAUCCAGCCAUGCCGCGUGAGUGAUGAAGGCCCUAGGGUUGUAAAGCUCUUUCACCGGUGAAGAUAAUGACGU